UGAAGAAAUACUCUGCUUCAGAGGAGGCUCUUCUGAGGCUGCUGCCAGUGGUCAAAGCCUCCAACAAAGCCAUACUGAGUGGCUGUUUCCUCUCUAAGAGAAGCUGUGAAGCUUUGUCCUCAAUUCUGAGCUCCCAGUCCUGUAGUCUGACAGAGUUAGACCUGAGUAACAACAAUCUGCAGGAUUCGGGAGUGAAGCUUCUUAAUGCUGCUCUGCAGAGUCCACAUUGUACACUAGAAAGUCUGAGACUGAAUUGCUGUAACCUCUCAGGGAAAAGCUGUGAAGCUCUUUCCUUAGUUCUAAGCUGCCCGUCCUCCUGUCUAAGAGAGCUGGACCUGAGUGACAAUGACCUUCAGGAUUCAGGAGCCAAAUAUAUUUCUGCAGAACUGCAGAGUCUGCAUUGUACUCUGAAAACUCUGAGGUCAGUGUUUAGUCCUUUUCACUCCAUAUAAUUUGUAAUUUGUAUCAUAUUCUUACUUAAAAAGCUAAGUCUUAUACAAUUUUAGACUCUGAAUUGCUGUUUAUAAAUAUUUUUGUAAAAGUUUGUAAAAAUUAGUCUUGGAGGUUUUUUUUUUCCAGAUUAUGUCCUUUAAUGAGCAUACUAAAGAUUAAUAUACUACUAACUUCCUGUGAUUAGUUUUAUUACAAUUUAAAACAUCUUAGCCUAUAAUAGCCUUGGAAAAACCUGAAUCACACACUUACUAUUUUUAAUAAUAAUAAUGAUUACUUUAUUUAUGCCCGUG
Pundamilia nyererei is the source of this 743-nucleotide long non-coding RNA. RefSeq lists it as uncharacterized. The transcript is spliced from 3 exons. The record is from RefSeq and is a predicted model, not a curated record. NCBI's taxonomy places the organism in Eukaryota, Metazoa, Chordata, Actinopteri, Cichliformes, Cichlidae.